UACGUAGGGGGCGAGCGUUGUCCGGAAUUACUGGGCGUAAAGGGUGCGUAGGCGGCCGAUUAAGUCAGAUGUGAAAUACCACGGCUCAACUGUGGGGGUGCAUUUGAAACUGGUUGGCUUGAGUGCAGGAGAGGAAAGUGGAAUUCCUAGUGUAGCGGUGAAAUGCGUAGAGAUUAGGAGGAACACCAGUGGCGAAGGCGACUUUCUGGACUGUAACUGACGCUGAGGCACGAAAGCGUGGGGAGCGAACAGG
RNAcentral lists this ribosomal RNA (253 nucleotides) under uncultured prokaryote. Its description in RNAcentral is "partial 16S ribosomal RNA". It matches the Rfam family "Bacterial small subunit ribosomal RNA", at positions 524 to 776 of the family's 1533-position model. The record is from RNAcentral.